CAGCCGCCGCGGGAAUACGAAGGGUGCAAGCGUUACUCGGAAUUACUGGGCGUAAAGCGUGCGUAGGUGUGGUUUAAGUCCGUUGUGAAAGCCCUGGGCUCAACCUGGGAAUUGCAGUGGAUACUGGGUCACUAGAGUGUGGUAGAGGAUAGUGGAAUUUCCGGUGUAGCAGUGAAAUGCGUAGAGAUCGGAAGGAACAUCUGUGGCGAAGGCGACUAUCUGGGCCAACACUGACACUGAGGCACGAAAGCGUGGGGAGCAAACAGGAUUAGAUACCCCAGUAGUCCCUGUCUCUUAUACA
This 301-nucleotide ribosomal RNA is filed under the name uncultured bacterium. Its description in RNAcentral is "partial 16S ribosomal RNA". It matches the Rfam family "Bacterial small subunit ribosomal RNA", at positions 509 to 808 of the family's 1533-position model. The record is from RNAcentral.